AUUGAACGCUGGCGGCAUGCUUUACACAUGCAAGUCGAACGGUAACAGGCCUUCGGGUGCUGACGAGUGGCGCACGGGUGAGUAAUGCAUCGGAACGUACCCAGAGGUGGGGGAUAACGCAGCGAAAGCUGUGCUAAUACCGCAUGUGAUCUGAGGAUGAAAGCGGGGGACCGAGCAGCAAUGUUUGGCCUCGCGCCUUUGGAGCGGCCGAUGUCGGAUUAGCUAGUUGGUGGGGUAAAGGCCUACCAAGGCGACGAUCCGUAGCUGGUCUGAGAGGACGACCAGCCACACUGGGACUGAGACACGGCCCAGACUCCUACGGGAGGCAGCAGUGGGGAAUUUUGGACAAUGGGCGCAAGCCUGAUCCAGCAAUGCCGCGUGCGGGAAGAGGGCCUUCGGGUUGUAAACCGCUUUUGGCAGGAACGAAACGGUGUCCGCUAAUACCGGGCGCUAAUGACGGUACCUGCAGAAUAAGCACCGGCUAACUACGUG
RNAcentral lists this ribosomal RNA (492 nucleotides) under uncultured bacterium. RNAcentral describes it as "partial 16S ribosomal RNA". It matches the Rfam family "Bacterial small subunit ribosomal RNA", at positions 29 to 507 of the family's 1533-position model. The record is from RNAcentral.